This 471-nucleotide ribosomal RNA is filed under the name uncultured bacterium. RNAcentral's name for it is "bacterial SSU rRNA". It matches the Rfam family "Bacterial small subunit ribosomal RNA", at positions 328 to 793 of the family's 1533-position model. The record is from RNAcentral.
UUGCCCCAUCCUACGGGAGGCAGCAGUGGGGAAUAUUGCACAAUGGGCGCAAGCCUGAUGCAGCCAUGCCGCGUGUAUGAAGAAGGCCUUCGGGUUGUAAAGUACUUUCAGCAGUGAGGAAGGUGGAUAUGUUAAUAGCAUAUUCAUUUGACGUUAGCUGCAGAAGAAGCACCGGCUAACUCCGUGCCAGCAGCCGCGGUAAUACGGAGGGUGCGAGCGUUAAUCGGAAUUACUGGGCGUAAAGCGCAUGCAGGUGGUUUGUUAAGUCAGAUGUGAAAGCCCGGGGCUCAACCUCGGAAUUGCAUUUGAAACUGGCAAACUAGAGUACUGUAGAGGGGGUAGAAUUUCAGGUGUAGCGGUGAAAUGCGUAGAGAUCUGAAGGAAUACCGGUGGCGAAGGCGGCCCCCUGGACAGAUACUGACACUCAGAUGCGAAAGCGUGGGGAGCAAACAGGAUUAGAUACCCUGGUAG